This 425-nucleotide ribosomal RNA is filed under the name uncultured bacterium. RNAcentral describes it as "partial 16S ribosomal RNA". It matches the Rfam family "Bacterial small subunit ribosomal RNA", at positions 354 to 796 of the family's 1533-position model. The record is from RNAcentral.
GUGGGGAAUAUUGGGCAAUGGGCGAAAGCCUGACCCAGCAACGCCGCGUGAAGGAAGAAGGUUUUCGGAUCGUAAACUUCUAUCCUUGGUGAAGAUAAUGACGGUAGCCAAGAAGGAAGCCCCGGCUAACUACGUGCCAGCAGCCGCGGUAAUACGUAGGGGGCAAGCGUUGUCCGGAAUGAUUGGGCGUAAAGGGCGCGUAGGCGGCCCGGUAAGUCUGAAGUGAAAGUCCUGCUUUUAAGGUGGGAAUUGCUUUGGAUACUGUCGGGCUUGAGUGCAGGAGAGGUAAGUGGAAUUCCCGGUGUAGCGGUGAAAUGCGUAGAGAUCGGGAGGAACACCAGUGGCGAAGGCGACUUACUGGACUGUAACUGACGCUGAGGCGCGAAAGUGUGGGGAGCAAACAGGAUUAGAUACCCGAGUAGUCC